Molecule: ribosomal RNA, 539 nt
Filed under: uncultured bacterium
Lineage: Bacteria
Description: bacterial SSU rRNA
Rfam family: Bacterial small subunit ribosomal RNA
Source: RNAcentral
ACGGGUGAGUAACGCGUAGGAAUCUGCCUUGAAGAGGGGGACAACCCGAGGAAACUCGGGCUAAUACCGCAUAAUUUCUGAGGAAAAAAGCUGGGUGGUAACACCUGGUACUUCAAGAGGAGCCUGCGUCCGAUUAACUAGUUGGUUAGGUAAAAGCUGACCAAGGCGAUGAUCGAUAACUGGUCUGAUAGGAUGACCAAUCACACUGGGACUGACACACGGCCCACACUCCUACCGGAGGCAGCAGUGGGGAAUAUUGUACAAUGGGGGCAACCCUGAUCCAUCAAUGCCUCGUGUGUGAAGAAGGCCUUCCGGUUGUAAAGCACUUUAUUUGGGGAGGAAGGUUGUUAUUUUAAUAAAUAAACAAUUUGACUGUACCCAAAGAAUAAACACCGGCUAACUCUGUGCCAGCAGCCGCGGUAAUACAUACGGUGCGAGCGUUAAUCGGAAUUACUGGGCGUAAAGGGCGCGUACGCGGUUAUAUAAGUUGGAUGUAAAAUCCCUGGGCUUAACCUAGGAACUGCAUCCGAAACUGUAUA